UACAGAGGUCUCGAGCGUUAGGCGGAAUCACUGGGCUUAAAGCGUGUGUAGGUGGAUGCCUAAGUACCUUGUGAAAUCCCACGGCUUAACCGUGGAACUGCUUGGUAUACUGGGUGUCUUGAGUCACUCAGGGGCGAGCGGAACAAAUGGUGGAGCGGUGAAAUGCGUAGAUAUCAUUUGGAACGCCAAUGGUGAAAACAGCUCGCUGGGGGUGCACUGACACUGAGGCACGAAAGCGUGGGGAGCGAACGGG
This 253-nucleotide ribosomal RNA is filed under the name uncultured bacterium. RNAcentral describes it as "partial 16S ribosomal RNA". It matches the Rfam family "Bacterial small subunit ribosomal RNA", at positions 524 to 776 of the family's 1533-position model. The record is from RNAcentral.